UGGGGGACAACGUUUCGAAAGGAACGCUHHCGCAUACGUCCUACDDDAAGCAGGGGACCUUCGGGCCUUGCGCUAUCAGAUGAGCCUAGGUCGGAUUAGCUAGUUGGUGAGGUAAUGGCUCACCAAGGCGACGAUCCGUAACUGGUCUGAGAGGAUGAUCAGUCACACUGGAACUGAGACACGGUCCAGACUCCUACGGGAGGCAGCAUUGGGGAAUAUUGGACAAUGGGCGAAAGCCUGAUCCAGCCAUGCCGCGUGUGUGAAGAAGGUCUUCGGAUUGUAAAGCACUUUAAGUUGGGAGGAAGGGUUGUAGAUUAAUACUCUGCAAUUUUGACGUUACCGACAGAAUAAGCACCGGCUAACUCUGUGCCAGCAGCCGCGGUAAUACAGAGGGUGCAAGCGUUAAUCGGAAUUACUGGGCGUAAAGCGCGCGUAGGUGGUUCGUUAAGUUGGAUGUGAAAUCCCCGGGCUCAACCUGGGAACUGCAUCCAAAACUGGCGAGCUAGAGUAUGGUAGAGGGUGGUGGAAUUUCCUGUGUAGCGGUGAAAUGCGUAGAUAUAGGAAGGAACACCAGUGGCGAAGGCGACCACCUGGACUGAUACUGACACUGAGGUGCG
This 617-nucleotide ribosomal RNA is filed under the name Pseudomonas sp. RNAcentral's name for it is "bacterial SSU rRNA". It matches the Rfam family "Bacterial small subunit ribosomal RNA", at positions 137 to 755 of the family's 1533-position model. The record is from RNAcentral. Lineage: Bacteria; Pseudomonadati; Pseudomonadota; Gammaproteobacteria; Pseudomonadales; Pseudomonadaceae.